RNAcentral lists this ribosomal RNA (216 nucleotides) under Ditylum brightwellii. RNAcentral's name for it is "partial Bacterial large subunit ribosomal RNA". It matches the Rfam family "Bacterial large subunit ribosomal RNA", at positions 241 to 415 of the family's 2925-position model. The record is from RNAcentral. Lineage: Eukaryota; Bacillariophyta; Thalassiosirophyceae; Lithodesmiales; Lithodesmiaceae.
GAGUAGUGGCGAGCGAAAGCGGAGGAGGCUAAACCGUGUGUGUGUUCAAGCCGGCAGGUGUUGCAUGUGCGGGGUUGUGGGGGCCUGUGUGAUCCUGCUGCCGUGGGAUCGGCUUGCAUGUGGUGUGAAGUUGAAUCGUCUGGGAAGGCGGACCGUAGUGGGUGAGAGUCCCGUAGACGUGAGUGUCAUGUGUGGUUGUCAGGUUGCCCCAAGUAG